UCACCAUGGGAAUGUGGUGGGAUGACUGGAGUGCUGCAGUGGAGGGCUACAAGCUCCUCAGAAGGGACAGAAUGAAAUCCUCAGAAAAACAGGAGUAUCAGGAAAGUGAUGUCCAGCAAUUUCAAUGAAAGAUGAGUGGCCAGUGGAGAGAUAUCUCAUGUGCCUCUUGGCUACAGAACAAAAGUAAGGAAUGAUCUCUUCUUGUUCCCUACAGAGGCAAGGAAAAGAGAGGACAUUUUCAUUGAAGCAGUGGGAUAGAGGCAAUGACUCGUGUGACCUGCUCAGUUUUUGAAAAUUAAGAACAAAACAAUACUUACUCUACACAGUCCAAUAGCCCACAGACCUCUUCUCUAACCACUCAUUUCUGCUGCUCUGCUGCAUUGGAACACCCACUUGUCAGAGAACAGAAAAUAUGGGAAAGUAGAGAGCAAUGAAGAAGCAAAGGAAAUUAUUUCCUCUGAAUAAACUUACUUUACAUAAGAGAAAUAUGGCAACUUAGGAAAUUAUUUCC
Long non-coding RNA from Passer domesticus (house sparrow), 511 nucleotides. RefSeq lists it as uncharacterized. The record is from RefSeq and is a predicted model, not a curated record. The transcript has 5 exons. Lineage: Eukaryota; Metazoa; Chordata; Aves; Passeriformes; Passeridae.